RNAcentral lists this long non-coding RNA (4398 nucleotides) under Homo sapiens (human). RNAcentral describes it as "HSALNT0398715". Lineage: Eukaryota; Metazoa; Chordata; Mammalia; Primates; Hominidae. The record is from RNAcentral.
GGUGGCCCCGAGGAGACAAGCGUGGCCGCAUUAGCUCUUUCUGCCUCCCACGCAGCCUUAUUUUUUUUAUUGUUGUUUUCUUGUUGCUGUUGUUGUUGUUCUCGGAGACGGAGUCUUGCUCUUGCUCUGUCGUCGCCCACGAUAGAGUACAGUGGCGUGAUCUCUGCUCACUGCAACCUCCGCCUCCUGGGUUCAAACAAUUCUGCCUCAGCCUCCGGAGUAGCUGGGAUUACAGGCGCGCGCCACUAUGCCCGGCUAAUUUUUGUGUUUUUAGUAAAGACGGGGUUUCACCAUGUCGGCCAGGCUGUUCUCGAACUCCUGACCUCGUGAUCCCUCCGUCUCGGCUUCCCAAAGUGCUGGGAUUACGGGCGUGAGCCACCGUGCCCGGCCGCAGCCUUGUUUUGACUGAGUCAGUGGGAGCCAUUACUGUUCCUAAAUGUAAACUGGCGUGACAGGAGUUCCGGGAUUGUCCACAGCACGGUGAUGUGGAAGCCCUGGGGAGAGAAUGAUAAAGAAAGGGGAUGAGGAACAGCUCCACCCGGAAGAGCGGGCUUCCCUAGCAAAUGAAUCUGGAAGGGCGCAGGGGAGGGGGCACGGCGAGUUCAGAUGGACCGAGGCUGGAAGCUGACGCGGUUGGAGGGGGAUGGGUGUAGCUGUUGGCAGUGGCGCUGGGGUGGAAGUGUGUGGGGUCACAGAUGUGUAAGGGUGGGCGCGGAGCAGACCCCCGAAGGUCCCUGAGGUCAGGCUGAGGCAUUGGACCAAAUCCGUACAUAGGCAUUUCUCUGAACUGCGCGCCACCUUUUGAGUGCCAUCUGUUUCCGUCCAGGACUCUGAUACAACUAUCCAGUCCGCUGCAGGGACCGGUCACUGUGUCACAGUAAGUGGUGGGAUUUAAGAGGCAGUUUUCCUCCUCAUGUUCUACCAUUAUGAACGUCUAGCUUGAAAAAUACAUACCAUUUUCAUAACUACGUAUUAUUUUGUUAGUGCUAGCAUAGUAGAUCUUUUUCCGUUAUUUUACUCUGUGGGGGGGGGGGGGUUUGUUUUGUUUUUGUUUUUGUUUUCUUUUUGGUACUAAGCUUUUUGUUCUGGAAUAAUUUUGGAUUUAUUCAAAACGUUGCAAAGACCGGGCGCGCUGGCUCACGCCUGUAAUCCCAACACUUUGGGAGGCCGAGAUGGGUGGAUCACCUGGGGUCAGGAGUUCAAGAUCAGCCUGGCCAACAUGGUGAAGUCCCGUCUCUACUAAAAAUACAGAAAUUAGCUGGGCGUGGUGGCGCGUGCACCUGUAAUCCCGGCUACUCGGGAGGCUGAGGCAGGAGAAUCGCUUGAACCCAGGAGGCCAAGGUUGCAGUGAGCCGAGGUUACACCAUUGCACUCCAGCCUGGGCAACAAGAGUGAAAUUCUUGUCUCAAAAAAAAAAAAAAGAAAAGUUGCAAAGAUCAUAAGCAGUCCACCAUGUUUUAUGCCCACUUUCUUCUGAUGCUGUCAUCACAAGCACCAACAAAAGUGGUUUGUUGUAGAUACUGACAUGAUGCAUUACUGUAACUAAAACCCAGACUUUACUGGGAUUUCACCACCUUUUCCUCCAAUGUUUUCUUUACAUGCCAGGGUACAAGCCAGGACCCACGUUCCAUUUAGCUUCCUUUUACCUGUUGUAUUUAGGGUGGGUUUCUUGUAGAUAGCAUGUAGUUGGAUCUUGCUUUUUUUUGCCCAAGCGAACAGUCUCUGCCUUUUAAAAGAGGUGUUUAUAACUGUACUUUUAUUUUUUAUGUCUUAUUCUUUAGCAUUCUGUACACAGAUACAGCGAUAAAAUGAAAUGACUGGAACUUAAAUGUGAAAACUCUUUACAAGUAAGCCCACAAUUAGAUACAUUUAUCUUACAUGUCAGGGAAAAAAAUUAUGUAAACAGGACAAAUUAUAUCACAAAAGAAUCCCAAAGUAGAAAAAAUACCUAAGAAAUGUGUCUAACCAUGAAAAGUACUGUUCUCUUGGUGUCUUCACAUCGUGUCUUCUGUGUACUUAAGUACAAAACAUUGUUGCCUCUGAUUAAUGCACCCUGUACUUAUUUUUCUGUUGUCCAGUUACAUAUUUGGUUGGUUCCAGGGCUAUGUUCAUGUAGCCAUCCAGGCAAACCAGCACCCCUCCCUUAAUCCACUUCAGAAUUUUACCCCAACUGUCUGAUGAUGUGCUCUAAGAAGUCACUAGGGGAUUGCUUUUCUUAAAAAAUCUAUUAUUAUUAUUAUUUUUUGAGACGGCUCUGUCGCCCAGGCUGGAGUGCAGUAGCACGAUCUCAGCUCACUGCAACCUUUGCCUCCCAGGUUCAAGCAAUUCUCUUUACAGGCGUGCACCACCACACCCAGCUAAUUUUUGUAUUUUUAGUGAAGACAGGGUUUCACAGUAUCUGGAAUUCCGGACCUCAGGUGACCCGCCCGCCUCUGCCUCCCAAAGUGCCGGGAUUACAGGCAUGAGCCACUGCGCCUGGCCAGUAGGGGGUUGCUUCUGAAAACUUAUUUUAAUAAUCUUGGGUAGGCCAGGCGCGGUGGCUCAUGCGUGUGAUCCUAGCACUUUGGGAGGCCGAGGCGUGUGGAUCACCUGAGGUCAGGAGUUCAAGACCAGCCUGGCCAACAUGGCGAAACCCCGUCUCUACUAAAAAUACAGAAAAAUUAGCCGGGCAUGGUGGCGCAUGCCUGUAAUCCCAGUUACUCAUGAGGCUGAGGCAGGAGAAUCGCUAGAACCCUGGGGGUGGAGGUUGCAGUGAGCCCAGAUCAUGCCAUUGCACUCCAGCCUGGGAGACAGAGCGAAACUCUGUUUCAAAAAAUAAUAAUCUUGGGGGGCAGGAAACCUAAGUCAUAAUCCCGGCUCUUUUACUUAACCAGCCGUAUGACUUGGAAAACUCGUUUCCCUUCUCUCGGCUCCAGAUUCCUCAUCUUGCAGCUGGGAUCCAGAGCUCUCACUCCAGGAGCCCAGUCACAGCAAAAACCAAAACUGUACUUUUUUUUUUUUUUUGAGACAGGGUUUCUCAUUCUGUCACCCAGGCUGGAGUGCAAUGAUGUGAUCUCUGUCUCAGCCCACAGCAGCUUCAACCUCCCAGGCUCAAGUGAUCCUCCUGCCUCAGCUACGCAGUGUAUGGUAUUUUGUUACAACAACCAGAAUGUAGUAAGACAUUUAUUGAAGGAUAUCUUGGUUCCUUCCAAGUUUUUGGCAGUGAUAAAGAAAGCUGCCAUAAACGUGCACGUGCAGAUUUCUUUGUGGGCAGAAGUUUUCAACCCAUCUGUGUAAAUACUGGGGAGCAGUGUUGCUGGUUCAUAUUCUAAGAGUAUGUUUAGGAUUAUGAGAGACCACCACACUGUCCUCCAAAGUAGCUGUACCAUUCUGCAUUGCCAGCACCAAUGAAGAAGGGUUUCUGUUGCUCCACAUUUCUGCCAGCAUUUGGUGGUGCCAGCAUUUUGGAUUUGGCAUUCUAAUAGGUAUGUAGUGGUGUCUUGUUUUUUUUUUGUUUUUUUGAGACAGAGUCUCACUCUGUCUUCCAGGCUAGAGUGCAGUGGCAUGGUCUCGGCUCACUGCAACCUCCGCCUCCUGGGUUCAAGCGAUUCUCCUGCCUCAGCCUCCCGAGUAGCUGGGACUACAGGCGUGCGCCACCACGCCCAGCUAAUUUUUGUAUUUUUAGUAGAAACGGGGUUUCACCAUGUUGGCCAGGAUGAUCUCGAUCUCUUGACCUCGUGAUCCACCUGCCUUGGCCUUCCAAAGUGCUGGGAUUACAGGUGUGAGCCCCCGCGCCCGGCCAGUGGUGUCUUGUUUUAACGGACGGUUCCCUAAUGACAUACGGUGAACAUCUUUUCCUGUGUUUAUUUGCCAUCUGUAUUAGGGUUCUCCAGAGGGCCAGAACUAACAGGAUAUAUGUAUAUAUUGAAAGGGAGUAUAUUAGGGAGAACUGGCUGACAGGAUCAUCAGGCAAAGUCCCACUAUAGUCCAUCUGCAAGCUGAGGAAGGAAGAAGCCAGUCACGUCUCAAAGUCCAAAAGCCUCAAAAGUAGGGAAGCCAACGGCGCAGCCUUCAGUCUGUGGCGGAAGGCCUAAGAGUCCCCGACAAACCACUGGUGGAAGUUCAAGAGUCCAAAGGCCAAAGAACCUGGAGUCUAAUCUCCAAAGACAGGAAGUAUCCAGCACAGGAGAAAGAUGAAAGCCAGAAGACUCAGCAAGCCAGCCCCUCCCACCUUCUGCGCUGACUGGAUGGUGCCCACCCACACUGAGAGUGGGUCUCCCUCUCCCCGUCCACUCACUCAAGUGUCAGCCUCCCUGGCAACACCCUCACAGACACACCCAGAAACAAUCCUUUUUUUUUUUUUUUUUUUUUUUUUUUUUUUUUUUUUUUUUGAGACCGAGUCUCACUCUGUCACCCAGG